RNAcentral lists this ribosomal RNA (466 nucleotides) under uncultured bacterium. RNAcentral's name for it is "partial 16S ribosomal RNA". It matches the Rfam family "Bacterial small subunit ribosomal RNA", at positions 28 to 506 of the family's 1533-position model. The record is from RNAcentral.
GAUGAACGCUGGCGGCGUGCUUAACACAUGCAAGUCGAACGGAAAGGCCCAAGCUUGCUUGGGUACUCGAGUGGCGAACGGGUGAGUAACACGUGGGUGAUCUGCCCUGCACUUCGGGAUAAGCCUGGGAAACUGGGUCUAAUACCGGAUAGGACCACAUUUUGGAUGGUGUGGUGGAAAGUUUUUCGGUGUGGGAUGAGCUCGCGGCCUAUCAGCUUGUUGGUGGGGUAAUGGCCUACCAAGGCGUCGACGGGUAGCCGGCCUGAGAGGGUGUACGGCCAAAUUGGGAGUGGAAUACGGCCAGGACACCUCCGGGAGGGAGGAGUGGGGAUAUUUGCACGAUGGGCGGAAGCCUGAGGCGGCGCAGCCGGGGGGGGGAUGCGGGCCUUCGGGUUGUAAACCCCUUUCGCUGGGGGAGAAGGUUUUUUGUGACGGUACGGGGAGAGAAAACCCCGCCUAACCACGU